This 2823-nucleotide long non-coding RNA is filed under the name Sinocyclocheilus anshuiensis. RNAcentral's name for it is "lncRNA (ENSSANG00000022936.1)". The record is from RNAcentral. Lineage: Eukaryota; Metazoa; Chordata; Actinopteri; Cypriniformes; Cyprinidae.
GAAGAGGUGUACUCACUUCUGUGAGAUACUGUAUAUGACAAAAAAAGAUAUGCAGAUCUUUACAAUACAGUGUACUUUUUAAUGCAGUAGGCCUAUAUAUAAUGCAUCCUUGAAAGUCUCCAUACAGGAUCAAUAUCAAAUUAUAAGUCAAUGGGAGCAGUGCACGUUGUUCUGUUAAGUCACACAACUUGUCGAGAAAAGAUUUUACUUUCAAUAUGCACUUUCACUCAUUUUAAUUAAAGUUGCUCUGGCUAACAUUUGAUAGUGAUAAAUGUAGCGCACCCCACAAGGAUUAGACGUCAAGAGUCAUUUGUAAGAAAGCAAGUCUUCAUUAGAAUCUGCCGAUGUUCUCGAAGUCACGUCAUAUAGUACUGCGGGUGAUAUUAGCUUGCAGAUGUUUGUCAUCUGUAGACCGCAAUUGUUCAUGUGAAAGACUCUCAGUGGUACCUGCCUUACCGCUUUUUCCUAUAUGUAGCCUACCUCCCCUGAUUGCAAGCAAAUGCGCAAGACAAACCCUAAGCCCCGCAGCUUUCACUGAUGACUCCUUCGCCAACCCAUUAGUUCUCUUAAAGUCACUUUUCCAUGUCCUCAGUUCUCACAGUGGGACACUUUGCAUGCACUCAGGGGCUGCAUCAUAGUCUGGCCGUGAGCUUUUAGACUUGCUUACGCACACAGAGCAUGAGUAAUAUCGUUUCCCCGCGAGUGCACCACCACAUCACUGCAACGGAAUUUCCCCAUCUCAUUUCAUAUGAAAAAGAGGCAGAGCGAAAAAAGCUCUUGGAUCUUCUUAUUCAGUCGUAAAACAUCAAAUUUUACCCAUGCGCAAAACCUCGAACCCACUCCGAGUUAUCAGGAAACGUGUGCGGAGAAGUUGUUUUUGUCAGUUUCGCUGUAAUCUGCUACCGCUAUUUGACACCUUUGUAUGUGUGCUUCUUUGUUCGAUUUUGUCAGGUUCAGCCCUUUGUUUGAAAUCCGAAUUCUGGAACAGAGAUGUCGCACAAUGUGUACCUUGUCAAAUAUGCAAACAGUAUCCGAAAACUCCAUCAUGUGACACAUGCCCACCCAUAGAGCCUUCAGAUUCCUGGAGGGUGGCAGCAAUUACCAGUUUAUCUGUCCUGGCAGCUGUAAUUGUUUGCGGAGCCUUGCUCAUAGGCAUUCUAGUGCAUCAAUUCAGGUCCAAGAGGACUUUACGUGGUGAGAUAUUAACAUUACAGCACAUGUUUAACAACAAACAUUCUCCUUCAGGGCAGAACUAACUCAACUUUUUCUGUCCACAAUUCAGAACCGAUUGAAGAGACAACAGGACCCCUUUAUCAAGUAUAGGAUCUUCAUAAGGUAAGGGUUGAAAACUGCAACUCUUCUUAAGAUGCUUCGAAAUGCAUUAAGGAAAUUAGUUUUGUUCACAUGCAAUCUUUUAAAUGUUUGCAGCUCAUGGAUCUCAAGCUGACGAAAAUGAAAAUGGACUUGUUACUCCAGUGAAUUAAUGCUCCAGUUGGUAAACGCUGGCUGGUACCUCAACCACAGAGUGUUCUACGAGUAGCAUCUGAUUUGUCUAACUUAUUACAUUAGUAGGCUAUGUCAUGCAUAGCAAAUGGUUAUGCACAAAAGCUGCACUGAGACCUUCCUUGUCACUCACUGUGCAGAAUAGGUUUGCAAGCCUUGGUGCUAAGUGACAUCCUAUGGACAGCAUGAUAGCACUGUUUUUGCAGAAAUUUGAGGCCAUUCAUGUUGCACUUAGUGCACUGUAGAUGCAUUCCCACUUGGAAUAUUCCUUGUUAGAUUUGUGAACACGAUAAACAAAUAACCACAAACCGUUUAAUAUAGUAGACUUAGAGAUCAACUUUUUUUACACAAAUAUGCCUCCCUAAACAGAUUUAGUAUGGCACAGCCAUUUGAAUGUAUUUGUAAUCAUUGUUUGUACAGUUUAAUUAUCUAUUUUUAUAGUGUUGGAAUACUACGCACUGUAUAGAUGUAGCCCUUUGUACAACAAUGUUCGGACACCGACUGGCUCAGCAGCCUGUCUAUGGCAUUGAUGAACGUUCUGGAGACACUGAAGACCAGCGAAGCAACAGAAGGCGAUAUCCUGAAAGACAAGAGUCGCCAGCUGACAUUAACAAACUCUUUGAGAAAGAGUCGCGGGUGUCAGAUUCCAUCUGAUUUUUGCUGCCUGUAUACGCAAAAGAGAUUAGAUAGUUUAGAGUGAUAUUUACAUGUAAGUAGUGAUAUUUACAUACAUGCAAUACAUUUAAUCUCCCGUGUUUUAUCAUUUCAGCUUACUAAAAUGUUUUGAAAGGAUAAAAUCACCAGUUUUAGAUGUGUGUAGCCAGCUGUGGGCAUUAGGGAAUGUAUAUAUUUAUAUACAGCAGAUGUGAAGGAGUAAUCAACUUGUUUGAAUGACUUAAAGCAUGUUUAACAAGAGGUUAAUAUCAUGAAACCUGUGAAGAACAUGUUUGAGUAACAUUUCAACCCAGAAUCAAAAGUGCUUAAAGAAUUUGUUGCAUUGUUUUCAAGAAAACUAAGCACACUUUAUACCCCAGUUCCCAAGAAUACUUUAUGUACCUCAUUGUGAAUCACUGCCAUGUUUGUCAGAAAUCUAGGAACAUCAAGAAGCUAGUCCAGAAUCUUUAUCGAUAAACAUAAACCUGUGAAGCAUGCACGGCGCUGUCAGUCUUAAAAAAAGUUGGUUGUGUAUUUGUGCCUUUACUCAUUCACAAUUACUCCACAGAAUGCAGAGGAAACUAUGCAUUUGAAUACAAUAAAGAGACAACUAAUGUACUGUAUUUGUCUGUUCAUGUUUUUUUGUUUCCUUAAUGUGUUUUUUGA